UGCAUAUCAAAAAAGCGGAGGAAAAGAAACCAACAGGGAUUGCCCUAGUAACGGCGAGUGAAGCGGCAACAGCUCAAAUUUGAAAGCUGGCUCCGGCCCGCAUUGUAAUUUGCAGAGGAUGCUUCUGGUGAGGUGCCUUCCGAGUUCCCUGGAACGGGACGCCAUAGAGGGUGAGAGCCCCGUAUGGAUGGACACCAAACCUGUGUGAAGCUCCUUCAACGAGUCGAGUAGUUUGGGAAUGCUGCUCUAAAUGGGAGGUAAAUCUCUUCUAAAGCUAAAUACCGGCCAGAGACCGAUAGCGCACAAGUAGAGUGAUCGAAAGAUGAAAAGCACCUUGAAAAGGGGGUUAAACAGUACGUGAAAUUGUUGAAAGGGAAGCGCUUGUGACCAGACUUGCGCCGGGCAGCUCAUCAGGGGUUCUCCCCUGUGCACUCUGCCCGGCUCAGGCCAGCAUCGGUUCUCGUGGGAGGAUAAGAACGGUUGGAACGUGGCCCCCCUCCGGGGGGGUGUUAUAGCCUACCGUACGAUACUCCCGUGGGGACCGAGGUUCGCGCUCCGCAAGGAUGCUGGCGUAAUGGUCAUCAGCGACCCGUCUUGAUACACGGGACCAAAAAAAAA
RNAcentral lists this ribosomal RNA (618 nucleotides) under Cytospora sp. RM-2019e. RNAcentral describes it as "partial large subunit ribosomal RNA". It matches the Rfam family "Eukaryotic large subunit ribosomal RNA", at positions 37 to 664 of the family's 3401-position model. The record is from RNAcentral. Lineage: Eukaryota; Fungi; Ascomycota; Sordariomycetes; Diaporthales; Cytosporaceae.